CAGCUGCCUGCUACAUCUGUGGCAGCUCCUCGAGUAUUUUCCCACACACUGCCUAAGCAUGGGUGCCUAUAUGGACUGCGGUAUUGUGGCUGGAGAACAGUAAAAAGUAAUACUGUCUGCAGAUCAGGUAACAAAAAAAAUGAAUCAUGUGGACUCUGGGGUUAUCUCUGUCUCCUGAGUCAUGAAGAUUUGGGAUGAGAUCUAGAGCCUAGCAUCUGGGAGGAGCACAGUUGAAUACAGAACAGUUUAUGGGCAUCCCGGGAUCUCCCUAUCAAGACAGCUGCCCAAGAAAUGAAUUGCAGAGCAGGAAGCCCAAACAUUUCUUCAUUUCUUGAGGGGUCAAGCUGUUUUGUGGUCGUUAAUCUUCAUGGGACAAAUUACCACCGGCAGCUCAGCAGCGUGGCACUGAUGGACUGGGCAGGCAACAAAGCCACUCUGCCAUAACUGAGAGGAGUAUUUGCCUUGUAUCCACUGCAUUUCUUCUGAAACUUCUCCUCAUUUCCUUCAGCAUUGUGGUGCAAAUUAUUAUAAUCUAUGACUUUUCAUUGGCCUGUUGUCAGAACCAUCCGUUCCAGCUCACAUUGAACGACCCUCUGCUGACACCUACCCAGCCACUUUGACUUUCCCCUUCUCAGAGAGAUGAGCUCCUUUGCAUCACAGCCUCCAUUUGCUGAGUUAAAGGCUUGAACUUCCUUUAUCACUUCUUUCUCCCCUGUUUUCUUAAGGCCCUAAAGCUUCAGUGCUAACAUUUGGGUUUUCACUGGCAAAUGGAGUGACACAGAGCUGUGCAGGAAUCUGACAGUGUAAUUUUAAUAUCAAAACUAAGGUCUGUUUGCCAUGGUAAGGAGCAUACAUACAGCAAAAACACAUGCUGCCAUAACAAAAAAGGGAACAACAUAAAGUAUCAGUGCUAAUAAUAAUAAUAAUCUGCAUGAGAGAGAUGGAGAAAGAAAGAAAAAGAAUACAACCUUCAACCUUCCCUAGGCAACUCAAAUGCCAGAGCAUGUACAGUAUAGUUUGUAAAUCUUUUCAUAUUUAAAGCAUGCUAAAAAAAUAACAUAAGUAUCUAAAUAGGUAAUCUUUUCAGCCAGACACCCACACUGAUAUGAAACACAGGCUGUUAAUUUGGACCCCACCGAAAUGCCUCAGGGGAGACCAGCGCUGCCCAGGGAUCCUCUCUGAAGGGGCAAUUCCAGAAGUGGGGAGUCCUGUCCCGUCUCCCCUUCAACUUUCAUUUCA
RNAcentral lists this long non-coding RNA (1239 nucleotides) under Anas platyrhynchos platyrhynchos (common mallard). Its description in RNAcentral is "lncRNA (ENSAPLG00000028901.1)". Lineage: Eukaryota; Metazoa; Chordata; Aves; Anseriformes; Anatidae. The record is from RNAcentral.